RNA transcript from Prosopis cineraria, 4749 nucleotides. It is a transcript of the gene named probable serine/threonine-protein kinase SIS8, with no coding region annotated. The transcript has 14 exons. The record is from RefSeq and is a predicted model, not a curated record. NCBI's taxonomy places the organism in Eukaryota, Viridiplantae, Streptophyta, Magnoliopsida, Fabales, Fabaceae.
GAAUACUACGAGCGCGUCAAGAGUGGUUGACGGAUGUGGUUCGAACUCGGAGCCUUGCAGGUUGGAAGCUCAAGCAUGAAAGUGAGUUUUCGCCACUUUCGCUUGAAAAUCCAUUUGUCUUGUAUACAAAAAGCGGCAGUUGCCACAAGGGCAGGGAUCGGGUUUGCUUCCAAUAGCAAAGCUUGGUGUUCAAAGCAAUCAUUUUUUCCCUACUUUAUUCAUUCAUUAUCAUCUCCGAUCACUUCACCCCUAUUUUCUGACUCAUUCACCCACAAUUCAGAGAGGGGGGAGAGAGAGAGAUAGAUUAGAGAGAAGGGAAAAGCCAGUUGUGCUGUGUAUUUGUGCUUUCCACCAAGUUCGCCUUUUUCUGGGACCGUGAAAUCCUUCCGCCUCUCUUAGGCAAGUGGGUCCUUUCCUUGUGGCCCUACUCUCCCACUUGCUGCUCCCUCCCUCCCUCUCUCUGCUCUCUUAGCCUCUGCUUACCUGCUGGUCUCUUUCUUUUCUUUAAUUGUUCUCUUCGUACUCCUCCUGUCUCUUCUAUUUUUGUGCUCUGCUUCCCAGUACCAAAAGGAAGAUCCUUUCUUUUCCCAAUCUGGAUGCGCAAUAGUCUGUGUUUUAUUGCUUCGUAAAGGUGACGCGCACUUUACAGAGCUUCUGAAAUUGGGGUAGCUUCGUAUGGUUUGUUGGGGUAUUUCAGGAUCUUCUCCCUAGUGGGAUUUACUUGUCCUGUGAAAAGGAGUCUGUUCCCUUUCAAUUCAAGCUUAUAUAUAUCACCGUGAUUCUCUUUGCUUUGGUGGGUGCUGCUUGAAAGUUGAAAUGAUUCAUGGUGUUCUUUAGAUUUCAAAGUUCUGUCGUGGCUUUCUGAACAAUUUAUCAGAUGCCUUUCUCCGAGACGUAGCGGUUUUGAUUUCAUGCUUGGUCCAAGACAAUGGAGAGGUUGCUACUCCUUUAGUAUUCAAUACGGUAUCUUAGUGAAAAGAUAUGAAGAACAUUCUCAAGAAGCUUCAUAUCAUGCCCCAUCAAUCAGAAGAUACUGAAGGGUCUACUUCAUCAAGAGGAAGCAAGUCCCACGAUGGUUCAUCCCCUAAGAAGCUUUCUCACUCUCGGUCUCCUCAAGUUCCUGAGAAUAAACCCUUUUCAGGGCUCUCGAAUUGGUUGCAUGCAGUUGCGAAUAAGCAGAGUCCCAGUUCUCCAUCUUCGAACCUCACAAGAGGAGAGAGAACAGAACCGUCUGAUUCAAUGAGCAGUGGUGGUCUGGACACUGUUUCUGAUUCUGCGAGGUGUGAUACAGCUUCUAGCACUUCGAAGGAUCCUGAAAUCGAGGAAGAGUAUCAGAUUCAACUGGCUUUAGAGUUGAGUGCAAAGGAGGAUCCUGAGGCCGUGCAAAUUGAAGCUGUCAAGCAAAUCAGUUUAGGCUCUUGUGACCCUGACAAUACACCUGCUGAAGUUGUGGCCUAUCGAUACUGGAAUUACAAUGCUCUUGGGUAUGAUGACAAGAUUUUAGAUGGUUUCUAUGACCUUUAUGGGAUCUUGACUGAGUCGACCUCUGCAAGAAUGCCUCCCCUCGUAGAUCUGCAAGGGACGUCAAUCUCAGAUAGUGUCACAUGGGAAGCAGUCUUAGUCAAUAGGGCUGCCGAUUCUAAUUUGUUAAAACUUGAGCAAAAAGCUUUAGAGCUGGCAAGCAAGUCAAGAUUAGAAAUUGAAAUAGUAGCAAAUGGUAAUUUGGUGCAGAAGCUUGCCGUAUUAGUGGCUGACUAUAUGGGUGGACCGGUUGCAGAUCCUCAACAUAUGACAAGUGCGUGGCAGAGUCUUAGUUAUAGCUUGAAAUCAACCCUUGGCAGCAUGGUUUUGCCACUUGGUUCUCUGACCAUUGGAUUGGCACGGCACCGUGCAUUGCUAUUUAAGGUUUUAGCUGAUUGUGUGGGUGUUCCUUGUCGGAUGGUCAAAGGACAGCAAUACACGGGUUCUGAUGGUGUGGCAAUGAACUUCAUCAAGAUUGAUGAUGGAAGGGAGUACAUUGUUGACCUAAUGGCUGAUCCUGGAACACUUAUUCCAGCUGAUGCAACUGGAUCGCAUGUUGAGUUUAACGAACCUAUAUUUUCAGCCACUCCUACAACAGGAGUUGAUUCGUCUCCUGCAACAUUGUCUGGCAGAGGUAUUGGAAGUUCAAUGGAAGGAGCUUCAGACUCUGGGGCAUUGGACAAUUCAAAUAAAUCAAAGCAGUUUGCCUAUGCAGGAUCUGAAAAAAGCAGGCCCGCUCCUGGCAAGGAAGAAUCAAAAAGACACUUGUAUACUUUCAAGAGUCCCGUCAAUGUUGAGAAGAUUGCGCUAGAAACUCCCAGUAGGCCUAAUUAUACACAUGGACAUGCAAGAUCACCUUCUUGGACUGAAGGGAUCAGUUCCCCUGCAGUUCGUAGAAUGAAGGUUAAAGAUGUUUCACAAUAUAUGAUGGAUGCUGCCAAAGAUAAUCCUAACUUGGCUCAGAAGCUUCAUGAUGUUUUACUUGAAAGUGGUGUUGUUGCUCCUCCAAACUUGUUUUCUGAGAUUUAUAAUGAGCAACUUGAUGCUCCAUCACUGACUGAAGAAAAAGACGAACCUAAACAGGAGAUUGUCCAGCAAGAAACUCAGGUUGCUGAUAACCUAGGCCCUGUUCAAAUUUUGCCUCCUUUGCCUCACUACAGAUUUCAUCCCAAAGCCAGUACCAGCAGUCAGCCUGAGCCUUCUAAGCCUGUAGAAGGUUUAGGGGCCAACCUUACUCUUGAUGCAAGGGAAGCAGCUGGUCAGCACAUACCAUCACAAGAAGAAGCUGGUCCUGUGAAAUAUGGGAAAAAUGUCCCAGUUGCUGCAGCAGCAGCUGCUGCUGCAGCUGUUGUUGCAUCUUCCAUGGUAGUUGCUGUGGCAAAGUCAAGCAGUGACUCAAAAAUUGAGCUUCCUGUGGCAGCUGCUGCAGCUGUUGUUGCAACCACUGCAGCUGUCAGUAAACAGUAUGAGCAGGGAAGUCGAAGUGAUGGAGAUACAGAUGGUGUUUAUGAGCCAAAGGGUAGUGGUGAUGGAGAGCAUGUUAAUUUAGGGGAAAACACAGGUGAGAGAAUAUCUGAUAAAUCAGUAAGUAAUGAAAGCACAAAAUCUGAUCCUGCACUAGAUGAUGUUGCUGAAUAUGAGAUUCCAUGGGAGGAAAUGGUGCUGGGUGAGCGUAUUGGACUUGGAUCAUAUGGGGAGGUGUACCAUGGUGAAUGGAGAGGAACUGAAGUUGCUGUAAAAAGGUUUCUAGAUCAAGAUAUAUCUGGUGAAUCACUUGAAGAAUUCAAAAGCGAGGUUCAAAUAAUGAAAAGAUUGAGGCAUCCAAAUGUUGUUCUCUUCAUGGGAGCUGUAAUUCGUCCUCCGAAUCUUUCCAUUGUUACAGAAUUUCUUCCCAGAGGCAGUUUGUAUAGAUUAAUUCACCGACCUAACAACCAAUUAGACGAGCGAAGGCGAUUGAGGAUGGCCCUUGAUGCUGCUCGAGGAAUGAACUAUUUGCACAACUGCUCUCCAAUGAUAGUCCAUCGUGAUUUGAAGUCCCCAAAUCUUCUUGUUGACAAAAACUGGGUUUUGAAGGUUUGCGAUUUUGGGUUAUCACGAAUGAAGCAUAGUACAUUCCUCUCUUCCAGAUCAACUGCUGGGACUGCGGAGUCGAUGGCUCCAGAAGUGUUAAGAAAUGAACCUUCAGAUGAAAAGUGUGAUGUUUAUAGCUUUGGAGUCAUAUUAUGGGAGCUCAUGACGCUGCAGCAGCCGUGGGGAGGAAUGAAUCCAAUGCAAGUUGUUGGUGCUGUUGGUUUCCAACAUCGCCGUCUUGACAUUCCUGACAAUAUGGACCCUGCUGUUGCUGAUAUUAUCUGGAAAUGCUGGCAGACAGAUCCAAGGCUGAGACCCACAUUUGCCGAGAUCAUGGCUGCACUGAAGCCGUUACAGAAGCCGAUUGUCGGUUCUCAUGUGGCCAAGUCUGGUGCACAGUCAAAGCGAGUUGCAGAAGAUGCAGCAGGAUGAGGAGACAAUUGUACAGCUAACUGAAUAUUUGUUCAUUCUAUUGCCAAAGAAAAAAAGGGCAAGCUGUAAAGUAUCACGAAUGAGCAUAAAAGAAGGGGGGAAAAGAUGAAGAUUGAUUGAAGACCAUGACCUAACAUGCGUUCUCAUACUAGGUUGUGAUUCUUUUCACUUUUUUAGUUCCAGUUUAUCUUGUGCAAUCUGUGGUGCAGCCAUUGUCAAGGUUUUGUCAUUUGUUUGUACAAAAUUCUUUUGGAUAUUGCAAUCAAUGCCUAAAUUUUGGUGUGUAUAGAUAAUUCAUGUUUCAACAGAAGCUGCUGCCACAUAGUUGAAGAAAAGUAACUGUGACAGAAACUGUUUGGUGCUGUCAAUUGACAAACACAGAUGUUGGUAAAAUGAAAUUAUGCAGUUUGUUCAAAUGCUUGUAGAAUGGUGCAAUAAUUUCUCCAUUCCAAGUACACGACGCUUCAUUUACAACGUAAAUUCAUUGAUUCUACCUGGAAAAUCUUCGUUGGAGUAAUGCUGCUUUAGACAGUACUGUGAUGUUGGAUCUCAACUACACUGUGAUUCUCCCAGAAAAUCUUCAUUGAUCACUCUUGUUUCAAGUAGUUUUUUUCUUUGGGCCAUGCUCUUUUGUUUUACGUAGUUAACUGAGGUUAAGUGUUAUAAUACAUGUACUCAACUGUUAUGACCCAUGACCAACUUAUAUUUCUCUUUUUAAAUUCCAAA